RNAcentral lists this ribosomal RNA (500 nucleotides) under uncultured bacterium. RNAcentral's name for it is "partial 16S ribosomal RNA". It matches the Rfam family "Bacterial small subunit ribosomal RNA", at positions 28 to 507 of the family's 1533-position model. The record is from RNAcentral.
GACGAACGCUGGCGGCGUGCCUAAUACAUGCAAGUCGUGCUGACCUUGUUGAAAGCUUGCUUUUAAAUGGUUAGCGGCUGACGGGUUUGUAACACGUGUGCAACCUGCCUGUAAGACUGGGAUAACGCCGGGAAACCGGGGCUAAUACCAGAUCGUUUUUUCCUCCGCAUUGUGUAAAAAGUAAAGGCGGCUUCCGCUGCCUCUUACAGAUGGGCCCGCGGCGCAUUAGCUAGUUGGCGGGGUAAUGCCCCACCAAGGCAACGAUCCGUAGCCGACCUGAGAGGGUGAUCGGCCACAUUGGGACUGAGAAACGGCCCAAACUCCUACGGGAGGCAGCAGUAGGGAAUCUUCCGCAAUGGACGAAAGACUGACGGAGAAACGACGCGUGAGUGAAGAAGGCAAUCGGGUCGUAAAACUCUGUUGCCGGGGAAGAAAAAGUGCCGUUCGAACAGGGCGGAGAAUUGACGGUACCAGGACAGAAAGCCACGGCUAACUACGUG